Molecule: ribosomal RNA, 497 nt
Filed under: uncultured bacterium
Lineage: Bacteria
Description: partial 16S ribosomal RNA
Rfam family: Bacterial small subunit ribosomal RNA
Source: RNAcentral
GAUGAACGCUGGCGGCGUGCCUAAUACAUGCAAGUCGAGCGAACGGACGAGAAGCUUGCUUCUCUGUUGUUAGCGGCGGACGGGUGAGUAACACGUGUAUAACCUACCUAUAAGACUGGUAUAUCUUCGGGACACCGGAGCUAAUACCGGAUAAUAUUUUGAACCGCAUUGUUCAAAAGUGAAAGACGGUCUUUCUGUCACUUAUAGAUGGAUCCGCGCUGCAUUAGCUAGUUGGUAAGGUAACGGCUUACCAAGGCAACGAUGCAUAGCCGACCUGAGAGGGUGGUCGGCCACACGGGAACUGAGACACGGUCCAGACUCCUACGGGAGGCAGCAGUAGGGAAUCUUCCGCAAUGGGCGAAAGCCUGACGGAGCAACGCCGCGUGAGUGAUGAAGGUCUUCGGAUCGUAAAACUCUGUUAUUAGGGAAGAACAUAUGUGUAAGUAACUGUGCACAGCUUGACGGUACCUAAUCAGAAAGCCACGGCUAACUACGUG